CCUACGGGAGGCAGCAGUAAGGAAUCUUCCGCAAUGGGCGAAAGCCUGACGGAGCAACGCCGCGUGGGCGAUGAAGGCCUUCGGGUCGUAAAGCCCUUUUCUGUGGGACGAUAAUGACGGUACCACAGGAAUAAGCCACGGCUAACUACGUGCCAGCAGCCGCGGUAAUACGUAGGUGGCGAGCGUUGUCCGGAGUUAUUGGGCGUAAAGGGCGUGUAGGCGGCCAGAUAAGUCAGUAGUGAAAAACCGCAGCUUAACUGCGGGACUGCUAUUGAAACUGACUGGCUUGAGGGCACCAGAGGAGAGCGGAAUUCCCGGUGUAGCGGUGAAAUGCGUAGAUAUCGGGAGGAACAUCAGUGGCGAAGGCGGCUCUCUGGGGUGCAACUGACGCUGAGGCGCGAAAGCUAGGGGAGCGAACGGGAUUAGAUACCCCUGUAGU
Molecule: ribosomal RNA, 439 nt
Filed under: uncultured bacterium
Lineage: Bacteria
Description: partial 16S ribosomal RNA
Rfam family: Bacterial small subunit ribosomal RNA
Source: RNAcentral